UCCCUGGUGGCUCAGCUGGUAAAGAAUCUGCCUGCAAUGUAGGAGACCCAGGUUUGAUCCCUGGGUUGGGAA
This 72-nucleotide transfer RNA is filed under the name Bos taurus (domestic cattle). It matches the Rfam family "tRNA". Rfam says of the family: Transfer RNA (tRNA) molecules are approximately 80 nucleotides in length. Their secondary structure includes four short double-helical elements and three loops (D, anti-codon, and T loops). Further hydrogen bonds mediate the characteristic L-shaped molecular structure. tRNAs have two regions of fundamental functional importance: the anti-codon, which is responsible for specific mRNA codon recognition, and the 3' end, to which the tRNAs corresponding amino acid is attached (by aminoacyl-tRNA synthetases). tRNAs cope with the degeneracy of the genetic code in two manners: having more than one tRNA (with a specific anti-codon) for a particular amino acid; and 'wobble' base-pairing, i.e. permitting non-standard base-pairing at the 3rd anti-codon position. The record is from Rfam by way of RNAcentral. RNAcentral also lists the same sequence under 3 other names. Lineage: Eukaryota; Metazoa; Chordata; Mammalia; Artiodactyla; Bovidae.